This 489-nucleotide ribosomal RNA is filed under the name uncultured bacterium. Its description in RNAcentral is "partial 16S ribosomal RNA". It matches the Rfam family "Bacterial small subunit ribosomal RNA", at positions 30 to 506 of the family's 1533-position model. The record is from RNAcentral.
AUUGAACGCUGGCGGCAUGCUUUACACAUGCAAGUCGGACGGCAGCACAGAGAAGCUUGCUUCUUGGGUGGCGAGUGGCGCACGGGUGAGUAAUAUAUCGGAACGUACCGAGUAAUGGGGGAUAACUAAUCGAAAGAUUAGCUAAUACCGCAUAUUCUCUGAGGAGGAAAGCAGGGGACCUUCGGGCCUUGCGUUAUUCGAGCGGCCGAUAUCUGAUUAGCUAGUUGGUGGGGUAAAGGCCUACCAAGGCGACGAUCAGUAGCGGGUCUGAGAGGAUGAUCCGCCACACUGGGACUGAGACACGGCCCAGACUCCUACGGGAGGCAGCAGUGGGGAAUUUUGGACAAUGGGCGCAAGCCUGAUCCAGCCAUGCCGCGUGUCUGAAGAAGGCCUUCGGGUUGUAAAGGACUUUUGUCAGGGAAGAAAAGGCUGUUGCUAAUAUCGACAGCUGAUGACGGUACCUGAAGAAUAAGCACCGGCUAACUACGU